CCGGCUAACUUCGUGCCAGCAGCCGCGGUAAUACGAAGGGUGCAAGCGUUAAUCGGAAUUACUGGGCGUAAAGGGUGCGUAGGCGGUUUGUUAAGUCUGUCGUGAAAUCCCCGGGCUCAACCUGGGAAUGGCGAUGGAUACUGGCAAGCUAGAGUGUGUCAGAGGAUGGUGGAAUUUCCGGUGUAGCGGUGAAAUGCGUAGAGAUCGGAAGGAACAUCAGUGGCGAAGGCGGCCAUCUGGGACAACACUGACGCUGAAGCACGAAAGCGUGGGGAGCAAACAGGAUUAGAUACCCUGGUAGUCCACGCCCUAAACGAUGCGAACUGGAUGUUGGUCUCAACUCGGAGAUCAGUGUCGAAGCUAACGCGUUAAGUCCUGCACCUGGGGAGUACGGUCGCAAGACUGAAACUCAAAGGAAUUGACGGGGGCCCGCACAAGCGGUGGAACAUGUGGUUCAAUUCGACGCUACGCGAGGAACCUUACCUGGGCUCGGAAUG
RNAcentral lists this ribosomal RNA (497 nucleotides) under uncultured Gammaproteobacteria bacterium. RNAcentral's name for it is "bacterial SSU rRNA". It matches the Rfam family "Bacterial small subunit ribosomal RNA", at positions 493 to 988 of the family's 1533-position model. Lineage: Bacteria; Pseudomonadati; Pseudomonadota; Gammaproteobacteria. The record is from RNAcentral.